Molecule: long non-coding RNA, 878 nt
Filed under: Marmota monax (woodchuck)
Lineage: Eukaryota; Metazoa; Chordata; Mammalia; Rodentia; Sciuridae
Source: RNAcentral
GAACUUUUACAUAACUUGUUGUAUUUAUACCUGAGCAUUUUACCUUUGAGGUAUAUAGUGUAAUUGUUAUGAUUUUUUUUGUUGUUUUAAAUUUUAGAUUUUACCUUUUCAUUGCAAGUAUAUUAGGAAGCAAUCAACUUGUGUAUAUUAACAUUAUAUCCUUCUUUCUUAUUGUAAUUGUUCAUUAGUUACAGAAGUUUUUUUGUUGUUGACUGUUUUGGGACUUCUGCAUAGAAAGUUACAUCAUCUGUGAGAAAAGGCAGUUUUAUUUUUUUUCUUUCCAAGUUAUACACCUUGUAUUUUUUUCUUGUCUUAUUUUAUUGUCUAGAACUAGAACUAGUCUUAGUUCUAAAAUGGUUAGGGGGGAUAUAUUUGAUUCUUGACUUCUUUGUGAUCUCAGUAGAAAAAUUCUAGUUUGUCACUAUUAAAUGUGAUGUUGGCUGUGAAUUUUUAUUUUUAUCAAGUUGAGAAAGUUCUCUAUUUCUAACUUAAUGAUUUUUUUUAAAAAUCAGAAAUGAAUAUUGGGUUUUGUCAAAUUCUUUCUCUGCUUCUAUGAUAUAAUCGUGAUAUUUUUUUCUUUAGACUACUGAUUUGGUGCGGUAUAAUAAUUUAUUUUUCAGUGUUGAAUUAACCCUGAAUAUCUGAAAUAAAUAAAUUCCACUUGGUUAUGGUGUAUAAUUUAUUGUUAGAUUAAACUUGCUAUUUUUUCCCAUAUGUAUGUCUGAGAUAUAUCAGUCUGUAGUCUUAUUUUCUUACGAUGUCUUUGUUCAUUUUGGCAUUAUGGUAAAAGUUACCAUAUCACAUAAGUUAGGAAAUAUCUUUCUACUGUCAUAUUCGGGAAGUUAUUGAAUAAAAUUUGUAUAAUACUGACCUUAAAA